RNAcentral lists this ribosomal RNA (449 nucleotides) under uncultured bacterium. Its description in RNAcentral is "bacterial SSU rRNA". It matches the Rfam family "Bacterial small subunit ribosomal RNA", at positions 28 to 478 of the family's 1533-position model. The record is from RNAcentral.
GAUGAACGCUGGCGGCGUGCUUAACACAUGCAAGUCGAACGGGAAACCUUUUAUUGAAGCUUCGGCAGAUUUAGCUGGUUUCUAGUGGCGGACGGGUGAGUAACGCGUGGGUAACCUGCCUUAUACAGGGGGAUAACAGUCAGAAAUGACUGCUAAUACCGCAUAAGCGCACAGAGCUGCAUGGCUCGGUGUGAAAAACUCCGGUGGUAUAAGAUGGACCCGCGUUGGAUUAGCUAGUUGGUGAGGUAACGGCCCACCAAGGCGACGAUCCAUAGCCGGCCUGAGAGGGUGAACGGCCACAUUGGGACUGAGACACGGCCCAGACUCCUACGGGAGGCAGCAGUGGGGAAUAUUGCACAAUGGGGGAAACCCUGAUGCAGCGACGCCGCGUGAAGGAAGAAGUAUCUCGGUAUGUAAACUUCUAUCAGCAGGGAAGAAAAUGACGGUAC